Molecule: ribosomal RNA, 543 nt
Filed under: uncultured bacterium
Lineage: Bacteria
Description: partial 16S ribosomal RNA
Rfam family: Bacterial small subunit ribosomal RNA
Source: RNAcentral
UAGGGAAUCUUCCACAAUGGACGCAAGUCUGAUGGAGCAACGCCGCGUGAGUGAAGAAGGUUUUCGGAUCGUAAAGCUCUGUUGUUGGUGAAGAAGGAUAGAGGCAGUAACUGGUCUUUAUUUGACGGUAAUCAACCAGAAAGUCACGGCUAACUACGUGCCAGCAGCCGCGGUAAUACGUAGGUGGCAAGCGUUGUCCGGAUUUAUUGGGCGUAAAGCGAGCGCAGGCGGAAUGAUAAGUCUGAUGUGAAAGCCCACGGCUCAACCGUGGAACUGCAUCGGAAACUGUCAUUCUUGAGUGCAGAAGAGGAGAGUGGAACUCCAUGUGUAGCGGUGGAAUGCGUAGAUAUAUGGAAGAACACCAGUGGCGAAGGCGGCUCUCUGGUCUGCAACUGACGCUGAGGCUCGAAAGCAUGGGUAGCGAACAGGAUUAGAUACCCUGGUAGUCCAUGCCGUAAACGAUGAGCGCUAGGUGUUGGGGACUUUCCGGUUCUCAGUGCCGCAGCGAACGCAUUAAGCGCUCCGCCUGGGGAGUACGACCGC